GCCGCCUUAGCUCAGUCGGCAGAGCGAUUCACUCGUAAUGAAUAGGUCCGGAGUUCGAUUCUCCGAGGCGGCACAA
This 76-nucleotide transfer RNA is filed under the name Agrococcus pavilionensis RW1. RNAcentral describes it as "tRNA-Thr". It matches the Rfam family "tRNA". Rfam says of the family: Transfer RNA (tRNA) molecules are approximately 80 nucleotides in length. Their secondary structure includes four short double-helical elements and three loops (D, anti-codon, and T loops). Further hydrogen bonds mediate the characteristic L-shaped molecular structure. tRNAs have two regions of fundamental functional importance: the anti-codon, which is responsible for specific mRNA codon recognition, and the 3' end, to which the tRNAs corresponding amino acid is attached (by aminoacyl-tRNA synthetases). tRNAs cope with the degeneracy of the genetic code in two manners: having more than one tRNA (with a specific anti-codon) for a particular amino acid; and 'wobble' base-pairing, i.e. permitting non-standard base-pairing at the 3rd anti-codon position. Lineage: Bacteria; Bacillati; Actinomycetota; Actinomycetes; Micrococcales; Microbacteriaceae. The record is from RNAcentral.